AUGUGAUCUUGUUGGAGGAAGUGUGUCACUGGGGGUAGGUUUUGAAGUUUCAAAAUCCAAGCCAGGCCAAGUGGUUCUCUUCCUACUGCCUGCAGAUCC
Molecule: microRNA precursor, 99 nt
Filed under: Microtus ochrogaster (prairie vole)
Lineage: Eukaryota; Metazoa; Chordata; Mammalia; Rodentia; Cricetidae
Description: miRNA (ENSMOCG00000007528.1)
Source: RNAcentral